This 251-nucleotide ribosomal RNA is filed under the name uncultured bacterium. RNAcentral describes it as "partial 16S ribosomal RNA". It matches the Rfam family "Bacterial small subunit ribosomal RNA", at positions 524 to 776 of the family's 1533-position model. The record is from RNAcentral.
UACAGAGGCCCCAAGCGUUACUGAGAAUCACUGGUUUAAAGGGUGCGUAGGUGGUCCGUUAAGUUCGUUGUGAAAUCCCUGGGCUCAACCCAGGAAAUGCUUCGAAUACUGGCGGACUUGAGGCUAGUAGAGGUCACUGAACUGACGGUGGAGCGGUGAAAUGCGUAGAUAUCGUCAGGAACGCCGAUGGUGAAGACAGGUGACUGGGCUAGUUCUGACACUGAGGCACGAAAGCGUGGGGAGCGAACGGG